RNAcentral lists this ribosomal RNA (835 nucleotides) under marine metagenome. RNAcentral's name for it is "bacterial SSU rRNA". It matches the Rfam family "Bacterial small subunit ribosomal RNA", at positions 8 to 889 of the family's 1533-position model. The record is from RNAcentral.
AGAGUUUGAUCCUGGCUCAGGAUGAACGCUGGCGGCGUGCUUAACACAUGCAAGUCGAACGAACCUUCGGGUUAGUGGCGGACGGGUGAGUAACGCGUGAGAAUCUGCCCUCAGGAGGGGGAUAACGGUUGGAAACGACCGCUAAUACCCCAUAUGCCUACUGGUGAAAUGAAUUUCGCCUGAGGAUGAGCUCGCGUCUGAUUAGCUAGUUGGUGAGGUAAUGGCUCACCAAGGCUUCGAUCAGUAGCUGGUCUGAGAGGAUGAUCAGCCACACUGGGACUGAGACACGGCCCAGACUCCUACGGGAGGCAGCAGUGGGGAAUUUUCCGCAAUGGGCGAAAGCCUGACGGAGCAACGCCGCGUGAGGGACGAAGGCCUCUGGGCUGUAAACCUCUUUUCUCAAGGAAGAAGAUAUGACGGUACUUGAGGAAUAAGCCACGGCUAAUUCCGUGCCAGCAGCCGCGGUAAUACGGGAGUGGCAAGCGUUAUCCGGAAUUAUUGGGCGUAAAGCGUCCGCAGGCGGCUUUUCAAGUCUGCUGUUAAAGCGUGGAGCUUAACUCCAUCAUGGCAGUGGAAACUGAAAGGCUUGAGUAUGGUAGGGGCAGAGGGAAUUCCCGGUGUAGCGGUGAAAUGCGUAGAUAUCGGGAAGAACACCAGUGGCGAAGGCGCUCUGCUGGGCCAUUACUGACGCUCAUGGACGAAAGCCAGGGGAGCGAAAGGGAUUAGAUACCCCUGUAGUCCUGGCCGUAAACGAUGAACACUAGGUGUCGGGGGAAUCGACCCCUUCGGUGUCGUAGCUAACGCGUUAAGUGUUCCGCCUGGGGAGUACGCACGC